AAAUAAAUACGUUUAUUGAUCAAUAUUAGCACAAGGUAAGGCAACUGAAAACAAAUUUCAUUAAUUAACCAGAGGGGUUAAUCUUUUUCUUAUCAUUCUUGAAAGAGGAGGUGGUAGCUUUCACUAUUUUUUCAACAACCAUUGCCUUCACUGAUUUCUUAUCGUUUUUUGGAAAGACACUUCCAUUCUUUGAUGUGCCUUCUUUGCCCUUCCCAUUAUUCUCCAUAUCUUUGUUGAUAAUA
Molecule: long non-coding RNA, 242 nt
Organism: Solanum stenotomum
Lineage: Eukaryota; Viridiplantae; Streptophyta; Magnoliopsida; Solanales; Solanaceae
Exons: 3
Source: RefSeq, a predicted model, not a curated record